Molecule: non-coding RNA, 86 nt
Organism: Hemiscyllium ocellatum (epaulette shark)
Lineage: Eukaryota; Metazoa; Chordata; Chondrichthyes; Orectolobiformes; Hemiscylliidae
Source: the annotation of a RefSeq genome assembly
GCUGUGAUGGCUGAGUGGUUAAGGCGUUGGACUUGAAAUCCAAUGGGGUCUCCCCACACAGGUUCAAUCCUUGAUCGCAUGUUGCU